This 262-nucleotide ribosomal RNA is filed under the name uncultured bacterium. Its description in RNAcentral is "partial 16S ribosomal RNA". It matches the Rfam family "Bacterial small subunit ribosomal RNA", at positions 793 to 1055 of the family's 1533-position model. The record is from RNAcentral.
GUCCAUGCCGUAAACGUUGGGCACUAGGUGUGGGCCUGUUUCCACGGGUUCUGCGCCGUAGCUAACGCAUUAAGUGCCCCGCCUGGGGAGUACGGCCGCAAGGCUAAAACUCAAAGGAAUUGACGGGGCCCGCACAAGCGGCGGAGCAUGCGGAUUAAUUCGAUGCAACGCGAAGAACCUUACCAAGGCUUGACAUACACCGGAAUCAUGCAGAGAUGUGUGAGCCCUUGUGGCUGGUGUACAGGUGGUGCAUGGUUGUCGU